This 1464-nucleotide ribosomal RNA is filed under the name uncultured Citrobacter sp. Its description in RNAcentral is "bacterial SSU rRNA". It matches the Rfam family "Bacterial small subunit ribosomal RNA". The record is from RNAcentral. Lineage: Bacteria; Pseudomonadati; Pseudomonadota; Gammaproteobacteria; Enterobacterales; Enterobacteriaceae.
AUUGAACGCUGGCGGCAGGCCUAACACAUGCAAGUCGAACGGUAACAGGAAGCAGCUUGCUGCUUUGCUGACGAGUGGCGGACGGGUGAGUAAUGUCUGGGAAACUGCCCGAUGGAGGGGGAUAACUACUGGAAACGGUAGCUAAUACCGCAUAAUGUCGCAAGACCAAAGAGGGGGACCUUCGGGCCUCUUGCCAUCGGAUGUGCCCAGAUGGGAUUAGCUUGUUGGUGAGGUAACGGCUCACCAAGGCGACGAUCCCUAGCUGGUCUGAGAGGAUGACCAGCCACACUGGAACUGAGACACGGUCCAGACUCCUACGGGAGGCAGCAGUGGGGAAUAUUGCACAAUGGGCGCAAGCCUGAUGCAGCCAUGCCGCGUGUAUGAAGAAGGCCUUCGGGUUGUAAAGUACUUUCAGCGGGGAGGAAGGGGGUAAGGUUAAUAACCUUAGCCAUUGACGUUACCCGCAGAAGAAGCACCGGCUAACUCCGUGCCAGCAGCCGCGGUAAUACGGAGGGUGCAAGCGUUAAUCGGAAUUACUGGGCGUAAAGCGCACGCAGGCGGUCUGUCAAGUCGGAUGUGAAAUCCCCGGGCUCAACCUGGGAACUGCAUUCGAAACUGGCAGGCUUGAGUCUCGUAGAGGGGGGUAGAAUUCCAGGUGUAGCGGUGAAAUGCGUAGAGAUCUGGAGGAAUACCGGUGGCGAAGGCGGCCCCCUGGACGAAGACUGACGCUCAGGUGCGAAAGCGUGGGGAGCAAACAGGAUUAGAUACCCUGGUAGUCCACGCCGUAAACGAUGUCUAUUUGGAGGUUGUGCCCUUGAGGCGUGGCUUCCGGAGCUAACGCGUUAAAUAGACCGCCUGGGGAGUACGGCCGCAAGGUUAAAACUCAAAUGAAUUGACGGGGCCCGCACAAGCGGUGGAGCAUGUGGUUUAAUUCGAUGCAACGCGAAGAACCUUACCUGGUCUUGACAUCCACAGAAUUUCUCAGAGAUGAGGAAGUGCCUUCGGGAACUGUGAGACAGGUGCUGCAUGGCUGUCGUCAGCUCGUGUUGUGAAAUGUUGGGUUAAGUCCCGCAACGAGCGCAACCCUUAUCCUUUGUUGCCAGCGAUUCGGUCGGGAACUCAAAGGAGACUGCCAGUGAUAAACUGGAGGAAGGUGGGGAUGACGUCAAGUCAUCAUGGCCCUUACGACCAGGGCUACACACGUGCUACAAUGGCAUAUACAAAGAGAAGCGACCUCGCGAGAGCAAGCGGACCUCAUAAAGUAUGUCGUAGUCCGGAUUGGAGUCUGCAACUCGACUCCAUGAAGUCGGAAUCGCUAGUAAUCGUGGAUCAGAAUGCCACGGUGAAUACGUUCCCGGGCCUUGUACACACCGCCCGUCACACCAUGGGAGUGGGUUGCAAAAGAAGUAGGUAGCUUAACCUUCGGGAGGGCGCUUACCACUUUGUGAUUCAUGACUGGGGUGA